AGAAACUCUAGAGUUAGAGCUGCCGUUACUAGUAACUUUCACAGUUAUUAGCAUUAACUCGCCCUUGUAAUGAGGCUCGGCCGGUCGCGGCGCAUUCUAUAUAAGCUACUUCCGAGCUCCUGACCAAGGUUUCAUCAUCGUGUACUAUCACACCCGCCAUAAGAAAACACAAGCCUGAGGGCUCGAGACGUAGGGUUGUUACCACUCCGGAGUGGGACCCGAACACGUACAUCCGAGUGUAUCCACUAUGCCUUAGCUACGAUCCGCCCCUCAUUUGUACCCGUGGUAUUAUUG
RNAcentral lists this long non-coding RNA (294 nucleotides) under Hordeum vulgare. RNAcentral's name for it is "long non-coding RNA (HVUL_LNC010395)". Lineage: Eukaryota; Viridiplantae; Streptophyta; Magnoliopsida; Poales; Poaceae. The record is from RNAcentral.